GGGGAGCAUCUCUAGUCUUAGAUGUUGCCUGAUAGAAGCUUCCUAUAAAAAUUUCUGUAAUUUCCUGCUUGUGUCUUUUAAGAAAAUUCACAGGCCUCUAGUUACAAGAUACAAUG
This is a non-coding RNA of Daucus carota subsp. sativus, 116 nucleotides long. The record is from Rfam. Lineage: Eukaryota; Viridiplantae; Streptophyta; Magnoliopsida; Apiales; Apiaceae.